AACGAACGCUGGCGGCAUGCCUAACACAUGCAAGUUGAACGAGACCUUCGGGUCUAGUGGCGCACGGGUGCGUAACGCGUGGGAAUCUGCCCUUGGGUUCGGAAUAACAGUGAGAAAUUACUGCUAAUACCGGAUGAUGUCUUCGGACCAAAGAUUUAUCGCCCAGGGAUGAGCCCGCGUAGGAUUAGCUAGUUGGUGGGGUAAUGGCCUACCAAGGCGACGAUCCUUAGCUGGUCUGAGAGGAUGAUCAGCCACACUGGGACUGAGACACGGCCCAGACUCCUACGGGAGGCAGCAGUGGGGAAUAUUGGACAAUGGGCGCAAGCCUGAUCCAGCAAUGCCGCGUGAGUGAUGAAGGCCUUAGGGUUGUAAAGCUCUUUUACCCGGGAUGAUAAUGACAGUACCGGGAGAAUAAGCUCCGGCUAACUCCGUG
RNAcentral lists this ribosomal RNA (433 nucleotides) under uncultured bacterium. Its description in RNAcentral is "partial 16S ribosomal RNA". It matches the Rfam family "Bacterial small subunit ribosomal RNA", at positions 29 to 507 of the family's 1533-position model. The record is from RNAcentral.